AUUGAACGCUGGCGGCAGGCCUAACACAUGCAAGUCGAGCGGUAACAGUCCUUCGGGAGCUGACGAGCGGCGGACGGGUGAGUAACGCGUAGGAAUCUACCCAGUAGAGGGGGAGUAGCCCGGGGAAACGUCGGAUUAAUACCGCAUAAACUCUAUGGAGCAAAGGGGGCUUCGGCUCUCGCUACUGGAUGAGCCUGCGUGGGAUUAGCUAGUUGGUGAGGUAAUGGCUCACCAAGGCGACGAUCUCUAACUGGUCUGAGAGGAUGAUCAGUCACACUGGAACUGAGACACGGUCCAGACUCCUACGGGAGGCAGCAGUGGGGAAUAUUGCACAAUGGGCGAAAGCCUGAUGCAGCCAUGCCGCGUGUGUGAAGAAGGCCUUAGGGUUGUAAAGCACUUUCAGUAGGGAGGAAGGCCAAGUAGUUAAUACCUGCUUGGAUUGACGUUACCUACAGAAGAAGCACCGGCUAACUCCGUGCCAGCA
Molecule: ribosomal RNA, 484 nt
Filed under: uncultured bacterium
Lineage: Bacteria
Description: bacterial SSU rRNA
Rfam family: Bacterial small subunit ribosomal RNA
Source: RNAcentral